CAGUCGCCGCGGGAAUACGAAGGGGGCUAGCGUUGCUCGGAAUGACUGGGCGUAAAGGGCGCGUAGGCGGCGGCCAAAGUCAGGCGUGAAAUUCUCGGGCUCAACCUGGGGGCUGCGUUUGAUACUUGGUUGCUUGAGUGGGGAAGAGGGUCGUGGAAUUCCCAGUGUAGAGGUGAAAUUCGUAGAUAUUGGGAAGAACACCGGUGGCGAAGGCGGCGACCUGGUCCUUUACUGACGCUGAGGCGCGAAAGCGUGGGGAGCAAACAGGAUUAGAUACCCGCGUAGUCCCUGUCUCUUAUAC
This 301-nucleotide ribosomal RNA is filed under the name uncultured bacterium. RNAcentral's name for it is "partial 16S ribosomal RNA". It matches the Rfam family "Bacterial small subunit ribosomal RNA", at positions 509 to 807 of the family's 1533-position model. The record is from RNAcentral.